This 105-nucleotide ribosomal RNA is filed under the name uncultured bacterium. RNAcentral's name for it is "partial 16S ribosomal RNA". It matches the Rfam family "Bacterial small subunit ribosomal RNA", at positions 1380 to 1482 of the family's 1533-position model. The record is from RNAcentral.
CUUGUACACACCGCCCGUCACACCAUGGGAGCGGGUUCUGCCAGAAGUAGUUAGCCUAACCGCAAGGAGGGCGAUUACCACGGCAGGGUUCGUGACCCUGGGGUG